RNAcentral lists this long non-coding RNA (924 nucleotides) under Lynx pardinus (Iberian lynx). The stretch from base 80 to 151 matches the Rfam family "Small nucleolar RNA SNORD93". Lineage: Eukaryota; Metazoa; Chordata; Mammalia; Carnivora; Felidae. The record is from RNAcentral.
GUCCAGUUCAAGAUGCUGAUGAACUUCAGGUAUGGACCAAAUGGAGAUAAUUUGUUAUUAAAUAGCUGAAUCGAAUUCUUGGCCAAGGAUGAGAACUCUUAAUCUGAUUGGAUAUGCUUCUCUGAUGGGUUAAAGGAUUUACCUGAGGCCAACUUCAUAGGAAUUAGUUACCUGCAGUCACAUCCCUCCUCCCUUUAGAAAGUAUGUCUUAGAUAUGAAGGGGGGAAAGCCUGUAAUAAAUAGGCAGUACUUUAUUAUGCCAAGAAAAGGUUAUUUUUAAUGGAUUUUUAAGUAAUUGGCAUUUAAUCUUUCAAAGUAUCUUUCCCUAUGGUGACCAUUUUGAGCUUUUAGUAAGAUAGGGUUUGAGUUAAAAAUUCACUUUUAUAUGAGAACAUUACUAAGUCUGAGUUGACAAUGCGUAGUAUGUUGUGGAAUUCUAUUAACUUACCUGCUGCACAGCUUUUGUAAACAUGGUCUAGAAACCACUGUUUAUUUUCUUAAUAGCACAUCUUAUUUCAUAAUUGCCGAUCUAACUACCUGUUGUGAUACUUCUUUUACAGGUCUGGUGCUCGAAAGACAAUCGUGGUGUUUGAAAGAAGCUUUUCCAGUAGAUACAGUGUAUUUGAACAUAUGGUGAUUGAAUAGAAGCUUUUGCUCUCUUUGUCCCUUUCAUGGUAGUAGCAGGGGUGAAUUUUGAGAAGGUGCCAAAUAUCUGUAAGAACAUAUAUCUACCAGCACCAUAGAGAAUUUUGUAGAAUUCUGUUCUAUUAUUUAGCCUUUCUACCAACCAGCCCUAGCCUGAAGUUUGACAUAGUAACUAGACUAUUCUACAACUGUCUUAACAACACUGUCACUUGUGCCUUAAUUUGCAAAGAUUAUUUUUAAAUCCUAUUCCUUUGACUGCCCUAAAGAUACAUUUCAAAG